Molecule: ribosomal RNA, 496 nt
Filed under: uncultured bacterium
Lineage: Bacteria
Description: partial 16S ribosomal RNA
Rfam family: Bacterial small subunit ribosomal RNA
Source: RNAcentral
AUGAACGCUGGCGGCGUGCCUAAUACAUGCAAGUCGAGCGAACGGACGAGAAGCUUGCUUUUCUGAUGUUAGCGGCGGACGGGUGAGUAACACGUGGAUAACCUACCUAUAAGACUGGGAUAACUUCGGGAAACCGGAGCUAAUACCGGAUAAUAUUUUGAACCGCAUGGUUCAAAAGUGAAAGACGGUCUUGCUGUCACUUAUAGAUGGAUCCGCGCUGCAUUAGCUAGUUGGUAAGGUAACGGCUUACCAAGGCAACGAUGCAUAGCCGACCUGAGAGGGUGAUCGGCCACACUGGAACUGAGACACGGUCCAGACUCCUACGGGAGGCAGCAGUAGGGAAUCUUCCGUAAUGGGCGAAAGCCUGACGGAGCAACGCCGCGUGAGUGAUGAAGGUCUUCGGAUCGUAAAACUCUGUUAUUAGGGAAGAACAUAUGUGUAAGUAACUGUGCACAUCUUGACGGUACCUAAUCAGAAAGCCACGGCUAACUACGUG